Molecule: long non-coding RNA, 715 nt
Filed under: Pan troglodytes (chimpanzee)
Lineage: Eukaryota; Metazoa; Chordata; Mammalia; Primates; Hominidae
Description: long non-coding RNA NONPTRT010448
Source: RNAcentral
CACGCCUCCUCCUCCCGGUCUCCUCCUCCCCGAGCCCGGCGCACCGAGCCGGCCGUGCCACCGAGCUGCGGCUCUGGCCCCGGCACCGCGGGUGCGCUGCGGAUGGGCUUGGGGCGCACCCAACGAGCAGCGAGAGUCGCGGUGUCCCGGGCGCCCGCUGGCACCGUGGCCGCAGCGGCCGGCCUGGGAGCCAGGAGGGCGAGGCGGCUGCACCUUCGGGGCCAGAUUGGAGUUCGAAGAGUGGCGGGUACCCCAGCAGCUCGGGGCCGGGGCGAUGGCUGCAGCCUCGGGAGGGUAUCGCCGGAUCGAACUCCGGGAAAGGGAAGCAAAGGCAUGGAACCUCCGCACACUGGAUGAGAAUCCAUCUUCCACUCGAGCUGGGAAUAGACUUUGUAAAAGAUAUUAUGUAAUGGAGUCUCGGGAACCCUGAGACCUCUCCAGCGAAGCUGAAGUGAAUUAAUUAAGUGCUUUAAACGGUCUUGGUGCUGUGUUACGGGAGGGAGUGACUGGAAAGUAACAAAGCUGAAUCUUUCUCCCUGGAGUAAGGCCGAAGACUGGAUUACUACACGCCUAGACGUGACACUACACCCAUAGAUCUCAUGCAUCAUUAAUGCCAUAUGACAUUGCCGUUUUCUUUCUCAGUUCACGGACAAAAGUGGUGGGUUUUCAUUGUCUUCAUUGAUUAUCAAUGCAUUAAUAAAGAAGAUGUGUGGUA